This is a non-coding RNA of Vigna umbellata (rice bean), 216 nucleotides long. NCBI's taxonomy places the organism in Eukaryota, Viridiplantae, Streptophyta, Magnoliopsida, Fabales, Fabaceae. The record is from RefSeq and is a predicted model, not a curated record.
UAUGUUCAUCUUCGCAUUGGACCUUAUGUUUGUGCAGAAUGGAAUUUCGGAGGGUUUCCUGAUUGGCUCAAGUAUGUUCCGGGCAUCAGUUUUAGAACAGACAAUGAACCUUUGAAGAGGGCAAUGCAAGGGUUCAUUGAGAAGAUUGUCGGAAUGAUGAAGAGUGAGAAACUCUAUGAAUCUCAGGGUGGCCCUAUCAUUCUUUCUCAGGUGUUG